RNAcentral lists this long non-coding RNA (1752 nucleotides) under Monodelphis domestica (gray short-tailed opossum). Its description in RNAcentral is "lncRNA (ENSMODG00000038420.1)". Lineage: Eukaryota; Metazoa; Chordata; Mammalia; Didelphimorphia; Didelphidae. The record is from RNAcentral.
AUGUGCGUAUCCAUGAUACACAGAACCACCAUUCUGCCAUUAACUGUCUUUCCACCAUUAUUCCUGUAUGGGGCCCAUCCAUCCAUUUGUCCAAGCCCCAGUCCCGCCCACCAGUCACAACCGAAAUGUCCUCCUCCAUCCCCUUCCCGCUGGCUCCUUUCCUGGUUAGGAAGUCAGCUUCCUGAAGACAGCCACCACGUCAGCUUUUUAAUUGCAUCUCCAGACCUUACUUAGCAUUGGGCCCCUAAGUGCUUAAAACAAAGGCAUUUUCAUUCAUUCAUCCUCAACACUGUUUUUCAUCUGUUCCUCAAUAUGAAGUUGUUAAAAUUAAUUGAAGGGGGCCAGAACUUCCUCUACAGAAUUCAUUAUUUGGCUUUGAGUUCUAAUGUUGGUGCUGCUAUUAGUAAGCAGAAUUAACAGAUGGGGCCCACAAUGUGUUGUUCACUUGUUUUCAGGAGUUAUUUCCAUAAUCCCAUUUAAAUUUUUCUUGGCAAAGACACUAGAGUGGUUGGCUGUUUCCUUCUCCUUCAUUUCACAGAUGAGGACACUGAAGCAAACAGGGUUAAGUGACUUGUCCAGGGUCACACAGCUAGGAAGUAUCUGAGGCAGGAUUUGAACUCCUAAAGAGGAAACUUCUGGAUUCCAAGUCUAGUGCUCUACUCUCUGGGCCACCUAGCUGUCCAACAACAUACCUAAGUAUAUAGAACUGUUUUCAUUGACCAUGGCAAGCUCUUAAACAAGUCACUUUAUAUCUCUGGGUCUGUUUCUUCAACUAUAAAAUGAAGGAGUUAAUAACAACAGGUAGCAUUUACAGAGCAAUUUAAGGUUUGCAAAGAACUUUUGCCAGUUAUAUCUCAGCUCAGUGAGGUAGUGCUCUUAUUAUCCCUAUUUUACAGAUGAAGAAACUGAGUCUGAUCUGAAACUGAGGCAGUCACCCCUAAUUAGUGGAAUAUGAACUCAAGCCAUCCUGAUGCCAAGCCCAACAUUCUGGCCAUGGUGCCAUCUUGCCUUCUAAAUUAUGGCCCUCUCUAGCUCAUUCUAAGCUCUAAUAUAGCAUAUAGAUAUGCUAGAAAGUAAGGUUGCCUUUCGUUCUAAGAGUGUAUAAAAUAUUCUAUGAGCUAGCUAGGUAGGUUGUAACCAUAUGUCUAAAAACUAAUUUCUAUAGACAUGACAGAACAUGAUCUAUUGAGUGUUUUAAUAAUUUACACAAAAGUAAAUGUGAUGGACAGCUGAAUAGUUCAGUAGAAAUAUAAAGGCCCAGAGACAAGAGGUCCUUGGUUCAAAUCUCACUUCAGACACUUCCUACCUGUGUUAUUCUGGGCAAGUUACUUAACCCCAACUGCCUAGCCCUCAUGGCUCUUCAGCCUUGGAACUGACACUUAGUGUUGAUUCUAAGAUUAAAGUGAAGGACCUUUUUUUUUUUAAGUAAUAUGAAAAACAACCCUUCCUUCAAAUACACUUUAGAAAAUUAUAUCACAAAAGACCAAAUCUGAUUUUUUUAAAAAUAUCUUUUUUUUUUUAACCCUUACCUUCUAUCCUGGAAUCAUUACUAAGUAUUGGUUCCAAGGCAGAACAACUGUAAGACAUUAGGCAAUGGAGAUUAAGUGCCUUGCCCAGAGUCACACAGCUAGAAGUGUCUGAGCUUGCCUCUGGACCUGGUUCUCCAUCCACUAAACCAACCUAGCCUCCUCCAAAAAUAUCCUUUUCUUCUAAAUCAAUAAAAACUAAAUGCCUAAAGUUUGUGGCUGGUUU